UUCUCACUACUGCUUUUGCCCAGGGCCCCAAUCUGUAUAAUACCCUAUAUAUACAUACCUAUUUUUUUAAAAAAAUAAUAUAUAAUAUAUAUAAAUAUUAUAUUAGGUCCAAACCAAUUAUUGUAAAUUUAAAAACACUUACUUAAUCAUUCAAUUCAAAAUUUAAAAAAAUAAAAUUCAAUAAAGGUCCACUCAUUGUAAA
RNAcentral lists this long non-coding RNA (202 nucleotides) under Prunus persica (peach). RNAcentral describes it as "long non-coding RNA (PPER_LNC000035)". The record is from RNAcentral. Lineage: Eukaryota; Viridiplantae; Streptophyta; Magnoliopsida; Rosales; Rosaceae.